RNAcentral lists this unclassified non-coding RNA (585 nucleotides) under Hevea brasiliensis (rubber tree). Lineage: Eukaryota; Viridiplantae; Streptophyta; Magnoliopsida; Malpighiales; Euphorbiaceae. The record is from RNAcentral.
GUUUUCACAGCUUGAAUAUGAAGAACUUUAUAAUAUUUUUAAAAAAAUAUAACAGAAUACAUAUCCUUCUCUCUCUCUUGUAAAGGAAAGAGAAAAACAAAUAAACCAAAACCAUUGCUAAAAUGUAAACAAGAGAGAACACAACAGUUUCAUCGGAGAAUCGCGUUUAUUGAUUAUUGUUGUAAGCUUAUAACACAGUAGAUAAUGUUGAUGGAAGAAAUGUGCAGCACCAGCAAGAGUUUGCUGAAGUAACAAGGACUGUAUGACCAACGGCCAACGCUGUUAAACUGAUCGUGUACUUUGAUUUUUCACUGAUGGCAAUAUGCAGAAUCUUCAUACUUUCCAUCCCACCUGUCUUGUUCAUUUUCUGAAACCUUAAGCUCGGAAUCUUCUUCAAAUGGCUCAAAUACAAGGUUGACUUGCUCGUCCUCAACGUUUUCAAGAGUCAAAGGGUCCCAUUUCGGAGAAUUGUCCUUGUCAAUGGUAAGAGCUCUGAUACCCUCAUAGACAUCACCAGAUAUUCUAGCUCUCAGUGUAUUUAUUGUAAUUCUGAAUUCUUUCUUCAGACAUUCAGAUAAGGUUUGC